GUGGGGAAUCUUGCGCAAUGGGCGAAAGCCUGACGCAGCCAUGCCGCGUGAAUGAUGAAGGUCUUAGGAUUGUAAAAUUCUUUCACCGGGGACGAUAAUGACGGUACCCGGAGAAGAAGCUCCGGCUAACUUCGUGCCAGCAGCCGCGGUAAUACGAAGGGGGCUAGCGUUGCUCGGAUUUACUGGGCGUAAAGGGCGCGUAGGCGGACAUUUAAGUCAGGGGUGAAAUCCCGGGGCUCAACCUCGGAACUGCCUUUGAUACUGGGUGUCUUGAGUAUGAGAGAGGUGUGUGGAACUCCGAGUGUAGAGGUGAAAUUCGUAGAUAUUCGGAAGAACACCAGUGGCGAAGGCGACACACUGGCUCAUUACUGACGCUGAGGCGCGAAAGCGUGGGGAGCAAACAGGAUUAGAUACCCCAGUAGUCC
This 425-nucleotide ribosomal RNA is filed under the name uncultured bacterium. RNAcentral's name for it is "partial 16S ribosomal RNA". It matches the Rfam family "Bacterial small subunit ribosomal RNA", at positions 354 to 796 of the family's 1533-position model. The record is from RNAcentral.